AACUUUUGUGGAUAUGAGUUGAACCUUUAGGAUAUGAAUUGAACCUUUAGGAUAUGAAUUGAAAUUUUUGGAUUAUGUAUUGGAAUUUUAGUUUAUAAAUUGAAAUUUUAGGAUAUGACUUGAACUUUUGUGGAUAUGACUUGAACCUUUAGGAUAUGAAUUGAACCUUUAGGAUAUGAAUUGGACUUUUAGUUUAUGUAUUGGAAUUUUAGUUUAUAAAUUGAAAUUUUAGGAUAUGACUUGAACUUUUGUGGAUAUGAUUUGAACCUUUAGGAUAUGAAUUGAACUUUUAGGAUAUGAAUUGAAAUUUUUGGAUUAUGUAUUGGAAUUUUAGAUUAUAAAUUGAAAUUUUGGAUAUGAAUUGAACUUUUGUGGAUAUGAGUUGAACCUUUAGGAUAUGAAUUGAAUCUUUAGGAUAUGAAUUGAAAUUUUGGUUUAUGUAUUGGAAUUUUAGAUUAUAAAUUGAAAUUUUAGGAUAUGACUUGAACUUUUGUGGAUAUGAGUUGAACCUUUAGGAUAUGAAUUGAAAUUUUAGGAUAUGAAUUUAAAUUUUUGGUUUAUGUAUUGGAAUUUUAGUUUAUAAAUUGAAAUUUUAGGAUAUGACUUGAACUUUUGUGGAUAUGAGUUGAAAUUUUUGGUUUAUGAAUUGGAAUUUUAGUUUAUAAAUUGAAAUUUUAGGAUAUGACUUGAACUUUUGUGGAUAUGAGUUGAACCUUUAGGAUAUGAAUUGAAAUUUAGGAUUGCAGGGGGAUUUUAUAGAAGGGGUUGAUGACUUUAUUAGACAUGCAGUGGAACUUCCACCAAGAAUAAUUUAGACACAGUACCUGGCAUAGUGUGCCUUUAAUUGUUGUUCUCAUUAGCAACAAUGACGAUGAGAAGGCAAUGUCAUGUGUUUCAAACAGUGAUGGUGUAAGUAGAAAUUUAACAUUUCCUAAGUAGAUAAAAGAAGAGGUUAUAGAGGAAUUCUCUACUUCAUUUUCCAAGAGGAAAUAGAAAAUUCCUCUAUAACCUCUUGUUUUAUCUGCUUAGGAAAUGUUAAAUUUUUACCUACACCAUCACUGUUUGAAACACAUGUCAUUGCCUUCCCAUCAUCAUUGUCGCUAAUGAGAACAACAAUUGAUCAAAGACACACCCUGUCGGGUAAUGUAUCCAAGUUACUCUCUGUAUCCAAGUUCAUCCCGAGUAAUAGUACCACAAGGAUAAACACCAAAGCCACCAGACAACUUUAUGAUGCCAAUGAAGUAAGAUAAGCUAUUCAAUGAGACUCGUAUUGUAAAGAAGAAGAAAGAGACUGAUCCAGAAAGGUGGGUCGAGGGUCGAGCCUCGACUAUACAUGU
This 1337-nucleotide long non-coding RNA is filed under the name Nicotiana tabacum (common tobacco). Its description in RNAcentral is "long non-coding RNA (NTAB_LNC002309)". Lineage: Eukaryota; Viridiplantae; Streptophyta; Magnoliopsida; Solanales; Solanaceae. The record is from RNAcentral.